Oryzias latipes (Japanese medaka) is the source of this 1696-nucleotide non-coding RNA. The record is from RefSeq and is a predicted model, not a curated record. NCBI's taxonomy places the organism in Eukaryota, Metazoa, Chordata, Actinopteri, Beloniformes, Adrianichthyidae.
AAAUGCAGUCAGCAAGAGAAGAAAAGAAAAUAGAACUGGAGAAAGAGAGAGAGGAGAAACAAAGAAAUCAAAAAGCCUGGGAGGAGGAACGCAGAGAAUGGUGGGAAAAACAGAAAGAAGAAGAAGAAAAGAGAAAGCAGGAAGAGCAGAAACGACUGAAGGAACUCGAGGAACAGUUAGAAAAGGAAAGAGAGAUUCGUGUACAGAAAGUCAAGGAGGAGAUCAAGAUCAAGAAAGAACUGGAAGAAAAAGAAAAGAAAUAUAAGGAAGAACAGGAGAAUCUCCUGAAGAAGUUUGAGGAAGAAGCCAGAAAAAGAGCUGAAGAGAAGAAUGAAUUCAUGACAAAACAUGCAGCUCUGAAGGAAACAUACACCAGUCAACUGAAGGACAAAGAGGAGAAGUACGACUUAUUAAAGGCACUGAAAGAAACAAAGGAAAGAGAAAAAAGGCACAAAUAUCAAGAAGAAAUCCGUGACUUAGUGAAGUGUGUGUCUAAAAAGAAAGAAAAUCUGCCUGAAAUCAAAAAUCUGCUGAUAAAACAGGAAGAAGAAAUGAAAAAUACUCCAACUCAGGAACAAGAAAACCUACAAACAAAACAUGAAGAUGAAAUAAGUGAUCUGAUACAAAAACUUCUGACUGAAGUUGAAGAAAAAUCUUCCUGCUGUAUUUUAUGAAAUUCCAGCCUAAUUUUUCUCUGUCCUCUAAAGAAGUCUUUCUACAGAAAAAUGAAUCUCCUGAAUUUACCAAAACAAUCAGAUCAGAGACUCUGGAAGGACGACUACUGCAUGGAGGAUGACGCUUCAUCUUCCAGGAGGAAAUGUGUUUGGAUGAUCAGCAAUCACUUCAAUAUUUGGUGAAAUCAAACCAUAAACAGCAACAAAAGAACUUUCCUAACUCUCAGUGAGAAAAAACUGAAGGGACAGAACAGAAAAGAACAGAAACUAAAUGGACAAAAAGCUUCAGGUUGUUCAAGAACAGAAAGUUUCAACUCUGGAUAAACAGUUUUUUAACUUGAUAUUGGUAUGUUAUCUGUGGGAGACACAGAACUCAGCAGAACACCACAGACAACAACUGGAACAAGAGAAACACAAAAGCUCCAUUUAACUAGGAGUGGGUCUUCAUGGUGUGAAGGGUCCAUCUCCAUUUUAUUUCGUCUCUCCUGUAAUCCAUGGACACCAGUGAAGAUCACAAAUCAUUGAAGAAAAAAGGUUCAGUGCACUGUCUAGUGGGUCUAGAUGACCCAACUCCCAAUGUUAAAGUGCCUAGGAUAGCACAAGGGUUACGGUGGACCUUAUCCAGCUCCUUUGCUGGAUCAAAGGAUUGAUCCGUGAUCUAACAUUUACAGAAGGACAGCUGUAGAUUGUUCUAACUCUCUUAAGAUCAUGUGUUGACGAACAAGGACCUUCAUUAAACAAAAACAAAUGUGCUGCGGAUGGUAAUUACAGAAAUGCAGACCAGUUCAUUUGUCCAAUGGUUCUGAUACGUUGUCCUGGUCCGAUGUUGUGGCUGUUGUUGCUGAUGAAAUAUGUAGAAUCACAGAAUAUUAUUUAGACUGAAUACUAGAUGUUGUUUAAGCUCCAUCUCCAUUUUACUUUGUCUCAACUCCCUAUAACGCACAUGUCCAAAGUCCGGCAUGGGUCAUCCAGUUUUUCAUCUGCCCACAAGCUGUCAUUAAAGCAAUAAUCUACGACCCCCA